Fukomys damarensis (Damara mole-rat) is the source of this 3150-nucleotide long non-coding RNA. The record is from Ensembl. NCBI's taxonomy places the organism in Eukaryota, Metazoa, Chordata, Mammalia, Rodentia, Bathyergidae.
ACGGCCGCGGCUCCCGCCGGCCCAGGUUGAGGCUGAGGUCUCGGCGGCGGCCAGGGCACUGGAGCUAGAACCCUCGGAUGCUCCCUCGCGCUCACUCUCUCGGCAGCAGUGGCGGCAGCGCCCGGAGCUCAGCUCGCAGUCUCCCUCGCUCUGUGCGGGGCUCUCGCCUCACUCCAGAGAGAGGGGCGGGAGGAGCGCGGCGCUCACUGAUGACGCAAGUCGCCUAGCAACCGUUCUCCUCCCCCCUCCCUAUCCUUUCCGCUCCGAGGCUUCCUCCGCGGGCCUUUCCCCCUUCUCCCCACCCCUCCCUUGGCGCCUGUGGCGCGCGCUGAUGACGCUAGAAGGGAAGAGGAAGUCGAGGAGCGGCGAGCUGGUGGGUGCGCCUCGGGCCGCGGGAGUCGCUGCUGCCGCUGCAGCCACCGCCGCUGCCUCUACGGCCGCGUCAGAACUGAGGAGGGGAAAGGGGAGGAGCCCAGCUGAGCCUAAGCUGCAGUCUGAUCUUACCCCUGACCCGAGGGCCGCAGGGAGAGCUUGCUGUGUAGCGGUUUCCUCCGGGGCAGGUGGCGACUGCCCCUUUGAGAACGAGAAGGAGCCUAGGCGGUGGGGCCGGGCUGGGGUGCAUAGCACCCGAAGGGACAGGAGUUACCUUCUCGGCCACAAGCAGCUUCCAUUUUCGGCCCCAUUUCUGCUUGGCAGCUUUUGUUGGGCCCACUCCCGGUGGAGCUGAGGAGCCAGAGGUGGGUUACACCACACAAACGUGGUGAUCCCGCCCCCACCCUGCGGAUGCGGGCGCAGAGAAGAGGACUGGCUUGGCCCCUCAGAGAUGUCACUACACUUGGACUGACGCCGCUACAGACAAGUGUGUGGAGAUGGCUUCUUUCUUUGACCUUGGAGUGUGUUCUUCAGAGUGCAAUAACUGGGUCUCGGAGCUGAAACAGUUUCGUGAUUUAUUCCUGAGACUGAGCCGGGCUGUGCUGACUGUAGGAGAGGAAAUCAGUGUGUUGGGAAAUACCGGUCUGGCAACUCUCAGGAACCUCUUCCUUAUCUCCCUGAUAUCCUUUUAAGUCCUUGCCUCAGUAAGUGCUCAAAUGAAUAUAGUCUCUCCUCACCUAUUUAUAUGUUCCUUCUCUGGCAUUUAUUGACACAGUCAGUGAGAGAAUAAUCUAACCCAAAGCCCAUGUAAUGGGAUCACCAUCCUAAAGGGAGUUAUGCAGUCAAUUUCCUAUCACAGAUAAAUACCAGACAUCAUCCUCUCAUGUCCUCCUCUCUUCUCUUUCCCCUCUCUCCCUCCUCCUCCUCCUCCCUGCCUUCCUCUUUUUUCUAUCUUUCUCAGUGCCAAGGAUUGAACCCAUGGCUUUCUCUCUGAGCUACAUCUCCCGCCUUUUUCCUAUGUUUUAUGUUCAGACGGGGUCUUACUAAGUUGCUAAAUUGGCCGAGUUGGGCUCAAACUUGUGACCCUCUUGCCUCAGCCUCGCUGUGUAGUGGCAUUGUGUCCCACACCUGGCUUCAUCUGUCUUACUGGGCCCUUUCCCCAAUCAUUCUCAAUGUUCUUCUUUGCCACACUCUCUCUGAUUUUCCCCCUGAGACUGACAGUCCAAAUACUCCCUGUCCCCAAAACAGUGGGAAUAAAUACUCAUCUGUAUGAACCAUCAAUUCCUCCAAAUGAAUGAUAACUUUCAGGGAUAAAUCAUAACCCAAGUACUUUCCAUCUUCCACAUGAUUGCAUUUUUCAUUUUCAUUCAAGCCCAGAAUUGUAAUCUGCCUUCGAGUUCCUUAAUCCUUGCCUUGGGGAAGAGUUGGACAGGAGUCAGGAUGAGAUCACAGGAGGUGGAGGGUAUCGAGAAUCAGAACCUAGGAUGUCCUAGGUUGACACUGUCCAGGCCCAAGACACGGGAGAAAGUGAGACAGCAGCCAAUAGAAGUCAGAGAUCUCCAACUGGCUAGAAGAAAUGACCGAGUGUGGACAUGAGUGGGCAAACUACUGCAACUUAAGGUCCUGCCUAGGCAAAGAGCCAAGGUGAGCACAGGGUCCAUGUGUCUACGUGGCUCAUCAGUGGACGCAAAGCACAGCCCAGCCUAGGCACCGCGAGGAUAAGCAGAGGUUGGAUCCCAUGUAGUGAGGAAAGCAUUUCGCAUACAUUGUCAAAAAACAUUGCCUUCUUUCUCGCUCUUUUGUAAUGCCCCCAUGUUGUUUUAAACUUGUGUAAUAUACAAAGGUGCUGUCGGAGUGGGACUCUUGGUUCUAAGUCAGAAGUCUCCCCCUCUGUCUUAUUUUUAUAAGCAGGCAGUGAGGCCCGGCAGGUGUAUCCAUGUCCCAGCAGCACUGCCCUCUCCGUGUCCCAGAGCGGGGCUGCAGCCCAGGCAGGAGCCACACACCCUGGAGGGUCCCCCAGGAAGAACUAAUAAAGUUCUCCCAUAAGCAUAUAAGGGAGGGGAAGGGCCUUUCCUUACAGCUCUUGUUUUACACACCUCACCUAAUUUUAAGGGUACAAAGGGAACAGUGGUUGGCUUCUGAGUUCGCAGGAAAAGUGCUAAAAGCAAAUAAGUAGUUGGGAAAUUGUCUUGACGUUUAUGGAAAGAACAAGACAUUAGUGUGUAAUAGAGGGGCUUAUAACUACUCUGGGAACACUAUUCCAGGGCCUCAGAGAGACGGCUCACCAUUUGUUUUAAAGACUUCAAAGAACAGCAAAAAAGCCACUCUAGCAGCUUUAGAGAAAUGGCUGUGGCACACGUGGGGCAGGAGAGGGAGGCAGGUGUAUGAGGACAAGGGGCGGUGCCUGCUGGGGGACAUUUACUUCAAAGGAAGACAACCAUUCUCUGUGCAGCAUGACGCAUUGUUUUUCCCAACACUCGUUUCUGCCCCUUACCCAGCCACUUUCAGACUUCGUUAGAAAGCAGGAUCAAAAAUAAUGCAAAGUUCAGAUAAAACAUAGUUUGAUCCUGUUUGUCAGAGUUGAGAGAAGUGUUUGGCAUGGAUUUUCAAAAUAGUAUAAUCCCCUCACCAUGCCUUUUUCUUCAUUCUAUUGUGAUCUCCUCUAUGUUGCUUUAUUGUACAGUUCAAAAAAGACCAGCAUUUGUUCCAAUGGCCAAAUUUCUCAUUUGACAGAAAGUUACAUGUGCUUCUGUCUUUGUUACUAACCCCUCCAAGUGC